CCUGAAUUCGAAAGGGGCCGGAUUCAAGUCCAUCCUGAUUGCUCAGGCCGCUACGGCCCCGCCCCAGAUGGUGUCCGGUCGCCCGCGGCGAAUUCAUUUCGCUUGCGGUGUCGUUCCCGGCGCUCACUCGGUGGGGUGGCGUUGCUCUGGCGUCGGAGGAGUGCACUUCCACCCUAGUAGAAACGUCGCGACCCGUUGGGUGCCGGUCUAAGGCCCGGGAUGGCAGACCACGUGUCCUGCGGGGGCUCUCGCAGGCGCGCGGACUCCUGGUGUCCCGGCCGGCUGCCCGACGGUAAGACCAGAGGGGUCGAUCCGCUACUUGUGAAACACUUUGGAUGGUGUAGCGUCCGGCCCGGCGCCGACGCGUGCGGGGA
This 374-nucleotide ribosomal RNA is filed under the name Eucles unicolor. RNAcentral describes it as "partial large subunit ribosomal RNA". The record is from RNAcentral. Lineage: Eukaryota; Metazoa; Arthropoda; Insecta; Phasmatodea; Pseudophasmatidae.